GUCUUUUUGUUUAUAAUAUAAAGUCUAAUCUGCUCACUGAGUAUUUAAAGAGCCGCAGUAUACUGACUGUGCAAAGGUAGCAUAAUCAAUAGUUUUUUAAUUGAAAACUUGUAUGAAAGAUUGGACGAGAAAUUAGCUUUCUUUAUCUUACUAAAUUGAAUUUUAGUUUUAAGUGAAAACGCUUAAAUAAAUUUAAAAGACGAGAAGACCCUAUAGAUUUUUAUUGUUGGAUAAAGUUUUAUAUUUUCUACUUUUAAAGAUAAUUUAACUGGGGCGAUUUUGUAAAAUAAAAAACUUAAUUAAUUGAAACCAUAAGUUAUUGAAUAUUUUGGUCUAAAAUUUUUAAAGAAAAGAUUAAAUUACCUUAGGGAUAACAGCGUAAUUUUAUUUAAGAGUUCAUAUCUAUAAUAAAGCUUGCGACCUCGAUGUUGAAUUAAGAUAAUAUAUUGGAGCAGAAAUUAAUAUAAUUAGUCUGUUCGACUAUUAAAUUCU
RNAcentral lists this ribosomal RNA (492 nucleotides) under Oreopsocus buholzeri. RNAcentral describes it as "partial 16S ribosomal RNA". It matches the Rfam family "Bacterial large subunit ribosomal RNA", at positions 1830 to 2596 of the family's 2925-position model. Lineage: Eukaryota; Metazoa; Arthropoda; Insecta; Psocodea; Psocidae. The record is from RNAcentral.